AAAUAGAGAAGCCGGCUGCCUUCUUCUUCCAAGCGUGAGAACCUUUCUUCCUUCUCUGUGAAAACCCAAAUCGACCUUUGUGGUGUGCCUUUUCUUCUUCGUGAAUGAAAAAGUCUCCCAAUUGAAGUUACCUUUGUGGUGUUGGGUUGAAGAUUUCUGAGCCGAAUUAAAAAGGGGGAUUUCGUUUCAUUUUCUUCCAUUAAAUUUCAGUUCACUGCCUUUUUUUUUGGUUCCUUGACUUCCAUUAGAUUUAUUUUGAUUUAAUCCUUCAUUAACCAUUGUUGUGUGGUUGCAGGUUGGAUUAACAACAACAAAG
RNAcentral lists this long non-coding RNA (316 nucleotides) under Olea europaea subsp. europaea. The record is from RNAcentral. Lineage: Eukaryota; Viridiplantae; Streptophyta; Magnoliopsida; Lamiales; Oleaceae.